RNAcentral lists this ribosomal RNA (153 nucleotides) under uncultured bacterium. Its description in RNAcentral is "partial 16S rRNA". It matches the Rfam family "Bacterial small subunit ribosomal RNA", at positions 358 to 508 of the family's 1533-position model. The record is from RNAcentral.
GGAAUAUUGGACAAUGGAGGCAACUCUGAUCCAGCCAUGCCGCGUGCAGGAAGACGGCCCUAUGGGUUGUAAACUGCUUUUAUACAGGAAGAAACACUCCCUCGUGAGGGAGCUUGACGGUACUGUAAGAAUAAGGACCGGCUAACUCCGUGC